Molecule: RNA transcript, 2172 nt
Organism: Perognathus longimembris pacificus (Pacific pocket mouse)
Lineage: Eukaryota; Metazoa; Chordata; Mammalia; Rodentia; Heteromyidae
Gene: Dhrs3
Gene name: dehydrogenase/reductase 3
Exons: 6
Source: RefSeq, a predicted model, not a curated record
CGCCGCAGCUGCCCGGGGAGCGAAGGAUUGAGGCGGCCGCCACCCCCGGGGGCCGCUCCACGCGUGCUGCGCCCCGGGGCCCUCUCCAAGUUGGAAAGGGCGGAUCGCAGGCUGUAGAUGCUAAAAGGGAGAGAGAAGGAGGGGAGCCGGGAUCGAGCGGCAACUCCCGGCGAGGGGCUGGGAGCGAGAGCCAGGAGGAGGAGGAGGAGGAGGAGGAGGAGGAGGGGAGCCGGGAGAGCGAGCGCGCGCGUCCCGAGCCGGCCCGGGACCCCGGGAUCCCGGACCCGGGGACCCCCGCCUCCCUCGCCCGCGCCGCCGGCCCGCAACUGGCGUCUAAGCAAUUUCCUGAGCCCAGGGGUCGCCAUGAGCCCUCGGGAGACCUUCGCGGGCUGAAAUCGGGAGCGCCCAGCACUUUUAUCCCCUACUUUGUUGUUUUGUUUUGUUUUCCCCACCCCGGAGAGCCGGGCUGGGUGGGGUGGCGGGCGAGGAAGCUCCGUUUCGGAAUCGGCCUUUUUAUUUUUUUUCUGUCUUGCACUUUGGACCCGCGGGGCGCGCGUGGUUAGAGCCUUUUUUUCUUUUUCUUUCCCCCCCCCCCUCUCCUCCCCAGCCUGAACUCCUCGUCCGGUAAACAUUACCUGAGCGUCCCCAGCCGAGACGCGGCUGCCCGGGCAAGAAACUUCUUGUUCGAAUCCCCACCCUCUCUGCCCGAUCACCAGCCCGGCGCUGGGGGUUGACUCCCCCUCCCCGCCCCCGCUCCAAGGAGCGUUCCGUUCCGGUUUUGUUCGGCCUCGGGGGAGUUGUGCCAUCGCCACCCCGCGCCGGCCCCGGCCCCGGCCCCGCGCGCGCGGGGAGGAUGGUGUGGCGCUGGCUGGGCGCGCUGGUGGCCUUCCCCCUGCAGCUGAUCUACCUGGUGGCCAAAGCGGCCGUGGGCUCGCUGCUGCCCGCCAGGCUGCGGGACCUGUCGCGGGAGAACGUGCUUAUCACCGGCGGUGGGCGAGGCAUCGGGCGCCAGCUCGCUCGCGAGUUCGCAGAGCGCGGCGCGAGAAAGAUUGUUCUCUGGGGCCGGACGGAGAAGUGCCUGAAGGAGACGACAGAGGAGGUUCGGCAGAUGGGCACCGAGUGCCACUACUUCAUCUGUGACGUGGGCAACCGAGAGGAGGUGUACCAGACGGCCAAGGCCGUCCGGGAGAAGGUGGGUGACAUCACCAUCCUGGUGAACAACGCCGCCGUGGUCCACGGGAAGAGCCUGAUGGACAGCGACGACGAUGCUCUCCUCAAGUCUCAGCACAUCAACACUCUGGGCCAGUUCUGGACCACCAAGGCCUUCUUGCCGCGCAUGCUGGAGCUGCAGAAUGGCCACAUCGUGUGCCUCAACUCCGUGCUGGCGCUGUCCGCCAUCCCCGGCGCCAUCGACUACUGCACAUCCAAGGCCUCGGCCUUCGCCUUCAUGGAGAGCCUGACCCUGGGGCUGUUGGACUGUCCGGGCGUCAACGCCACCACCGUGCUGCCCUUCCACACCAGCACCGAGAUGUUCCAGGGCAUGAGGGUCAGCCGGAGACCGUGGCCCGGAGGACAGUGGAAGCUGUGCAGCUAAAUCAGGCCCUCCUCCUGCUCCCGUGGACAAUGAAUAUCCUCAUUAUCUUGAAAAGCAUUCUCCCACAGGCCGCACUGGAGGAGAUCCACAGGUUUUCAGGAACCUACACCUGCAUGAAUACUUUCAAGGGGCGGACAUAGAGGCCGGAAGCAGAGACUUGUUCACGGAGUCGAGGAGCUGAGGGACCAAGGCACCUGGGCACACCCCCAGGCCCCUGUCUGCUGGCACAUUUCUGCAGGGGGGUGAGCAGAACUGCUCAAAGAAGAAUCUGGCACCCUCCCAGGUCAGCCCCAGGACCUUUGCACAGGACUGAUGGGUGUUAGCCCCCCCUCUCCCCAUGAGGAGACAGGAAACGAGCCAGUAGCCACCUUGACACUUUGGUACAUUUCUAAUUCUAUAGAGUUUAUUGUUAAAUUGCUUCUCAAAUCUAACCAGCCUCAGCAGUGUGCAUUGACUAUUUCCAGAAGGGUCUGCUUCCAGAAUUUCUGUCUUCCCCCUCCACAACCCACUCAGUCUCGGCUUGCACAAACUGGUUGAACGGCAGGAAUGAAAAAUAAAAAGAAAGAUGGCUUUUACAC